RNAcentral lists this long non-coding RNA (558 nucleotides) under Cucumis sativus (cucumber). RNAcentral describes it as "long non-coding RNA (CSAT_LNC002947)". The record is from RNAcentral. Lineage: Eukaryota; Viridiplantae; Streptophyta; Magnoliopsida; Cucurbitales; Cucurbitaceae.
AGAACUCUCAACACUUGAAUCACCAUAUAGCAGUCUACAUCCGGGUGGUGCCUUGAUUUUUGAAGAUUUAGUUAAAAGCAGUGAUAAAAUUGGUACAUAAAUUACAGUGCAUUUCUCGAUAUGCAACAACAUUAAGAGCAACUUAAAGACAACAGUCAUCAAGAAAUCUAGUAUUUAAAAUGUACAAAGAGCAGUAGUAAACAUAUGUAUUUUAUGGCUGACUUUAUCCAUAAUAAAUGUUGGAUUAAAUCAUCAAAAUAAAACACAAACAGAUAAUUAUCGAGUUUUUCAAUGGAGGAUAGAGAGGAAGACAUGCAUGCACAACUACUAGAUCUAUAUGGUGCCAUACUGCCAGUAAAAAUUUAAAGACACACAUGACAACAUUAUUUUGGUGAAGUUCUAAUAUUGCAACCAUGGAGGAAAAAUCAGCAAAUCUUAAAUAGAUGUAGUAGUCCAAAUGAUAAAAGUUUGUCUCAAGAUAAUAUUUCAAUAACUGCAAAUGCAUUGUGUUGAACCUAACCUCUUGUGUUUCACGGUAAUGAACAAGGACAAUGUGUU